UGCCGAAACCGAGAUCGAACCAGGGACCUUUAAAUCUUCAGUCUAACGCUCUCCCAACUGAGCUAUUUCGGU
This is a non-coding RNA of Cordylochernes scorpioides, 72 nucleotides long. The record is from the annotation of a GenBank genome assembly. Lineage: Eukaryota; Metazoa; Arthropoda; Arachnida; Pseudoscorpiones; Chernetidae.